This 1495-nucleotide ribosomal RNA is filed under the name Escherichia coli. RNAcentral describes it as "partial 23S ribosomal RNA". It matches the Rfam family "Bacterial large subunit ribosomal RNA", at positions 1452 to 2925 of the family's 2925-position model. The record is from RNAcentral. Lineage: Bacteria; Pseudomonadati; Pseudomonadota; Gammaproteobacteria; Enterobacterales; Enterobacteriaceae.
UACUGCGAAGGGGGGACGGAGAAGGCUAUGUUGGCCGGGCGACGGUUGUCCCGGUUUAAGCGUGUAGGCUGGUUUUCCAGGCAAAUCCGGAAAACCAAGGCUGAGGCGUGAUGACGAGGCACUACGGUGCUGAAGUGACAAAUGCCCUGCUUCCAGGAAAAGCCUCUAAGCAUCAGGUAACAUCAAAUCGUACCCCAAACCGACACAGGUGGUCAGGUAGAGAAUACCAAGGCGCUUGAGAGAACUCGGGUGAAGGAACUAGGCAAAAUGGUGCCGUAACUUCGGGAGAAGGCACGCUGAUAUGUAGGUGAAGCGACUUGCUCGUGGAGCUGAAAUCAGUCGAAGAUACCAGCUGGCUGCAACUGUUUAUUAAAAACACAGCACUGUGCAAACACGAAAGUGGACGUAUACGGUGUGACGCCUGCCCGGUGCCGGAAGGUUAAUUGAUGGGGUUAGCGGUAACGCGAAGCUCUUGAUCGAAGCCCCGGUAAACGGCGGCCGUAACUAUAACGGUCCUAAGGUAGCGAAAUUCCUUGUCGGGUAAGUUCCGACCUGCACGAAUGGCGUAAUGAUGGCCAGGCUGUCUCCACCCGAGACUCAGUGAAAUUGAACUCGCUGUGAAGAUGCAGUGUACCCGCGGCAAGACGGAAAGACCCCGUGAACCUUUACUAUAGCUUGACACUGAACAUUGAGCCUUGAUGUGUAGGAUAGGUGGGAGGCUUUGAAGUGUGGACGCCAGUCUGCAUGGAGCCGACCUUGAAAUACCACCCUUUAAUGUUUGAUGUUCUAACGUUGGCCCGUAAUCCGGGUUGCGGACAGUGUCUGGUGGGUAGUUUGACUGGGGCGGUCUCCUCCUAAAGAGUAACGGAGGAGCACGAAGGUUGGCUAAUCCUGGUCGGACAUCAGGAGGUUAGUGCAAUGGCAUAAGCCAGCUUGACUGCGAGCGUGACGGCGCGAGCAGGUGCGAAAGCAGGUCAUAGUGAUCCGGUGGUUCUGAAUGGAAGGGCCAUCGCUCAACGGAUAAAAGGUACUCCGGGGAUAACAGGCUGAUACCGCCCAAGAGUUCAUAUCGACGGCGGUGUUUGGCACCUCGAUGUCGGCUCAUCACAUCCUGGGGCUGAAGUAGGUCCCAAGGGUAUGGCUGUUCGCCAUUUAAAGUGGUACGCGAGCUGGGUUUAGAACGUCGUGAGACAGUUCGGUCCCUAUCUGCCGUGGGCGCUGGAGAACUGAGGGGGGCUGCUCCUAGUACGAGAGGACCGGAGUGGACGCAUCACUGGUGUUCGGGUUGUCAUGCCAAUGGCACUGCCCGGUAGCUAAAUGCGGAAGAGAUAAGUGCUGAAAGCAUCUAAGCACGAAACUUGCCCCGAGAUGAGUUCUCCCUGAGACUUAGAGUCUCCUGAAGGAACGUUGAAGACGACGACGUUGAUAGGCCGGGUGUGUAAGCGCAGCGAUGCGUUGAGCUAACCGGUACUAAUGAACCGUGAGGCUUAACCUU